CUGGGUUCCGGAAGCUUGUGGCAUAAAAGGUGAACAGUAAUUAAGCAUGGCCACAUCACACAAAAUUUCAAGUUCAGGCUCUGUCGUGCCUAGAAUGCAUCGGUGGAAUAGCACACAAAUGGUGUUUAUUUACUAAACUGGGAGCUGUAGAGAAUCCCAAAUGGCAAAGCUGAAGCUAAAAUAGCCAAAACUGUGGCAAUAGACAAAUUGAUGAAUUUUCCCAAAUUAGCUUGUUU
Pelobates cultripes (western spadefoot toad) is the source of this 236-nucleotide non-coding RNA. The record is from the annotation of a GenBank genome assembly. NCBI's taxonomy places the organism in Eukaryota, Metazoa, Chordata, Amphibia, Anura, Pelobatidae.